Molecule: non-coding RNA, 45 nt
Organism: Rhodnius prolixus
Lineage: Eukaryota; Metazoa; Arthropoda; Insecta; Hemiptera; Reduviidae
Source: Rfam
ACACUGGCUUUUUAAAAGCCACAAAACAAUCAAAAGAACUGUUAU